CACUUGGGACAAGGAGUUGGAGGUCACUAC
This 30-nucleotide non-coding RNA is filed under the name Cricetulus griseus (Chinese hamster). Lineage: Eukaryota; Metazoa; Chordata; Mammalia; Rodentia; Cricetidae. The record is from RNAcentral.